RNAcentral lists this ribosomal RNA (435 nucleotides) under uncultured bacterium. RNAcentral's name for it is "partial 16S ribosomal RNA". It matches the Rfam family "Bacterial small subunit ribosomal RNA", at positions 28 to 507 of the family's 1533-position model. The record is from RNAcentral.
GAUGAACGCUGGCGGUAUGCUUAACACAUGCAAGUCGAACGGACUCUUCGGAGUUAGUGGCGGACGGGUGAGUAACGCGUGAGAAUCUGGCUUUGGGUUCGGGACAACCACUGGAAACGGUGGCUAAUACCGGAUGUGCCGAGAGGUAAAAGAGAAAUUGCCUGAAGAUGAGCUCGCGUCUGAUUAGCUAGUUGGUGAGGUAAAGGCUCACCAAGGCAGCGAUCAGUAGCUGGUCUGAGAGGAUGACCAGCCACACUGGGACUGAGACACGGCCCAGACUCCUACGGGAGGCAGCAGUGGGGAAUUUUCCGCAAUGGGCGAAAGCCUGACGGAGCAAUACCGCGUGAGGGAGGAAGGCUCUUGGGGUGUAAACCUCUUUUCUUAGGGAAGAACAAAAUGACGGUACCUAAGGAAUCAGCAUCGGCUAACUCCGUG